CCCCGCACGUCGCCCUCCCAGCGCCUGCUCUCGACCCAUCACCACCACCACCACCUCGGGUACUCGCUGCUGCCAGCACAGUACAACCUGCCCUAUGCAACAGGUCUCUCCUCCACAGCCAUCGUUGCCAGCCAGCAAGGCUCCGCUCCCUCCCUAUACCCACCUCCCCGGAGGUGAGAACGGAUGUGACCCACCAGGAUGCCUGGGCUAUACGAGACGUGUGACUGGCUCACAUGGAGAAGUGCUGGAGACUCCUUUAGACAUCAGUUGAAUGGUGUUAAUUGUACUGCUUGACGUUCCUGCCGUGGUCCGAGGUGGACUCUGUCUUCUCCCCUCGUCGGACACACACUGACUCCCCACCCCACCCCUCUUUGGCGAGUGGGUGAGCUGGUACCUGCGGAUGUAUUUAUUCUACUGAGCACCAGCACUCAGGGUGGAGGCGACACACCUGCCUGGUGCAUAUGAAGAGGAAACAGAAGCACUGAGGUUUCUCGAUGAAUUUGGGACCCUGCCGUGUCUCUGUGAGCUGCUGCUUCACGAACAGACUGGGGGCAGGCAGGGACUUGGAACGUGGGACCGAG
RNAcentral lists this long non-coding RNA (581 nucleotides) under Cyanistes caeruleus (blue tit). RNAcentral describes it as "lncRNA (ENSCCEG00000003692.1)". Lineage: Eukaryota; Metazoa; Chordata; Aves; Passeriformes; Paridae. The record is from RNAcentral.